Molecule: ribosomal RNA, 408 nt
Filed under: uncultured Gemmatimonas sp.
Lineage: Bacteria; Pseudomonadati; Gemmatimonadota; Gemmatimonadia; Gemmatimonadales; Gemmatimonadaceae
Description: bacterial SSU rRNA
Rfam family: Bacterial small subunit ribosomal RNA
Source: RNAcentral
UGGGAAGUCUUGCGCAAUGGCCUAACGGCUGACGCAGCGACGCCGCGUGUGGGAUGAAGCUCUUCGGAGUGUAAACCACUGUUGCCCGGAGCGAAUAGCUCGAUUCAUCGAGCCUGACGGUACCGGGUGAGGAAGCACCGGCUAACUCCGUGCCAGCAGCCGCGGUAAUACGGGGGUGCGAGCGUUGUCCGGAAUCACUGGGCGUAAAGGGCGCGUAGGUGGUUUGAUAAGGGUGUGGUGAAAGUCCGGGGCUCAACCCGCGAUCUGCCGUGCCGACUGUCAAACUCGAGGGCUGUAGAGGCAGACGGAAUUCCGGGUGUAGCGGUGGAAUUGCGUAGAGAUCCGGAGGAAGACCGGUGGCGAAGGCGGUCUGCUGGGCAGUUUUCUGACACUGAUGCGCGACAGCGU